GGUGCAGUGGCGAAAUGGGAACGCCGCAGUCUGCAAAACUGACGAUGAGCCGGUUCGAUCCCGGCCUGCAUCUCCA
This 76-nucleotide transfer RNA is filed under the name Salmonella enterica. RNAcentral's name for it is "tRNA-Cys". It matches the Rfam family "tRNA". Rfam says of the family: Transfer RNA (tRNA) molecules are approximately 80 nucleotides in length. Their secondary structure includes four short double-helical elements and three loops (D, anti-codon, and T loops). Further hydrogen bonds mediate the characteristic L-shaped molecular structure. tRNAs have two regions of fundamental functional importance: the anti-codon, which is responsible for specific mRNA codon recognition, and the 3' end, to which the tRNAs corresponding amino acid is attached (by aminoacyl-tRNA synthetases). tRNAs cope with the degeneracy of the genetic code in two manners: having more than one tRNA (with a specific anti-codon) for a particular amino acid; and 'wobble' base-pairing, i.e. permitting non-standard base-pairing at the 3rd anti-codon position. RNAcentral also lists the same sequence under 1 other name. The record is from RNAcentral. Lineage: Bacteria; Pseudomonadati; Pseudomonadota; Gammaproteobacteria; Enterobacterales; Enterobacteriaceae.